AAAAUAUCGAUGAAGUUGCGACGUGAUGAAGUUUUGUAUUUUGGUUUUAUUGUAUGUACUAAUUGAAAAACAAUGCUAUUCUUGGUGCAUUUAUUACGAAAAGCAAGUGCCCUUUCCAUUUGGUUGUUACUAUGGAGGAGACUACAUACCGAAUGAACAAACAAAAGUGAUAAAUUGUAUGAGUUGUUUCUGCAGACACAGUGGACUACUUAGGUGUUGUCCGACGAGGGGCACAAUGAACGGCGAAGAAUGUCGACAAAAGCCAGUUAAAAUGCUGCAUCGAAUUAUGUAUAAAGAACUGAAAAACAUACAUAGAUAUGGCGGUGG
Long non-coding RNA from Mytilus californianus (California mussel), 327 nucleotides. RefSeq lists it as uncharacterized. The record is from RefSeq and is a predicted model, not a curated record. Lineage: Eukaryota; Metazoa; Mollusca; Bivalvia; Mytilida; Mytilidae. The transcript has 3 exons.